UGCGGGAGAGUAGGUUAUUGCCAGGGUUUUUAUUUUAUACUUUAAACCUUAAAUUUAUCUCCAAAUGUUUAUAUUAUUUGAAUAAAACAUUCAAAUAAUAUAAAAAAUAAUAUAUAUAUUGACAUGGAUUAAACAAAGAUAUAUAUUAUUCUAUGUUGUAUAAACAAAUUGGCAAAAUAGAGAUGGAAGAUAAAAAUAUGGUCAAAGUAAUAAGAGUCUAUGGUGAAUGCCUAGA
RNAcentral lists this unclassified non-coding RNA (235 nucleotides) under Borreliella burgdorferi (Lyme disease spirochete). RNAcentral describes it as "5S-23S ribosomal RNA intergenic spacer region". The record is from RNAcentral. Lineage: Bacteria; Pseudomonadati; Spirochaetota; Spirochaetia; Spirochaetales; Borreliaceae.